Ostrea edulis (European flat oyster) is the source of this 2148-nucleotide long non-coding RNA. RefSeq lists it as uncharacterized. Lineage: Eukaryota; Metazoa; Mollusca; Bivalvia; Ostreida; Ostreidae. The record is from RefSeq and is a predicted model, not a curated record. The transcript is spliced from 2 exons.
CGAAUAGUGAAUUUGUGAGCAAACGAACUCUGGUAGAAGUUUGGGGCAGAUGAAAACAACCCAUGGUCUCGCGCGGAAAUGAGCGAAAUGAAAGAGACGUAUCCGGUAGUUAGUAUUUAUCCGGAAUGCUUGUGCGCAAUGGCGGCAAUAAACAAACGAAGCGGAUACGUUGAAGGAAAAUCUUCUUUAUUUAUUUCUUACCGUUAUGUAGACCAGUGAAAAUAAUGUACAACGAUUAAUCGUAUAAAUCCCAUGAAGAAUAGAAAACUGAAAGUAGGGCAAACAUAGAUCCCUGGACAUAUCAGAGGUGAGAUCAGACAGAUCAUGAGAUGGAAACCAAUGUAAUUGAGAUGAAAAGGGAGUACAACUCGAAAUAUCAAGGAAAAACAAGAAAGGCCAUUGUGAAUCAGCAGAUGAUGUCCUAUACAACCAUCCUUCCAUGACACAUACAAUGGGAAGGUAACAGCUAAGUAUAUACAUAUAAAUGAUAUUAAAAUCCUGCGUGCUCGUUCCAUAUAAUGUCCCUUGAACAUUACAAGUAUUUACUUAUUCCAAAUACAUGUAGUUCAAAAUUAAGUCAGAAAUUCUAAACAUUUUUUUUAAAUUAAAGUUUAUUUCAGGAAACAAAGCCUGUCUGAAACUCCAAAAUGACAUUUCCAGAAAGCUGAAGAAUGGAUAAAAAUGUAUCUUUCAUGUGAUGCAACGGUGUUCGAUCUUGUGACUUUGACCUGGAAGUUUGACCUAUUUUUGAUAAAAAUCUGACCUAUUCAAUAUCUCAACUAUUUAAGACAGAGCUUUCAUAUUUUGUAUAUAGAUUUCUUAUGUCAAGAUCUUUUGUAUCAUGCAUGUACCAUGAUUAAUUACGUUGUGACCUUGGUCUUAUCCAGAACAGCAAGAUCUUGUCGAUCAUAUUGGUGUUGAGGCAUUUCUGUGUAAUGUGAAUUCAUUUUCAGUAAUGUUGUGAUCCUUUGGGGCUCAUGUAGGCUGGGGCCACAAUAUGGGAUCAACAUUUCUCAUAGGAAUAAAGACUGAAAUCUUUUUAAAAUCACAACAGCUGUACAAUGGCAAGGCCAAGGUGACUCCGUUGAGCGAUGUGGCUCUUUGGCCUCUUGUACUGUUUAAGACGCAUGUAUUUAAAAUUUAUCAUAGGGUAUAUUUGCAUUUAUUUUUUCAGAAAUUUUGCAUGUCCAUAUGUCUUGGAAGGUGAAUAGGUGAAAAGUCAAUAGAUGCUUACCAUAUCAGAUGCUUGCAGAGGAUACUGGAGAUAAAGUAGAAUUAUGGAAAACAGGAAGUGGCAGCCAGGACUGACAUCAAUGCAAUAAACAAUGAGCCGAGGAGACGGUCAUGGAACUAUAUAGGACACGUGCUAUGGAGGGGAGGUGACAAUGACAGUGAGAUGGCGUUGGGUUGGACACCAGAAGGGAAAAGGGCAUUUAAGAGACCGAAAACAACCUGGAGAGGAACAGUAGAAGCAGAAAGAAAGAUUGCAGAAUGGAGAAACUUGAAUGAGAUCAAGAUGGUAGCAAUAGAACAGAGUGGAUUGGAGAGAGUCUCGGUCCUAUGUGUUUUGGCAUGGAGAGAACUAAGUAAUGUCUAGAUUGUUGGAGAUAGAAUGACCAGGAAUAUGAAUGGAUGUGCUGGAAACUGUACUAAGACCCUUAUGUAUUUGGAUAGAUUUACAUACCAUCAUGAUUUUGCUAUGAAAAGCUUGAAAAAAAUCCUCAACUCAUAUUGUAGCUGACAUUGUACAUUUGUACUUAUUAAUAUUUCAAAUGAACAUAUUUUUAGACAUACAAUAUCUAAACUUUGGAGUCCAUGUACAUCUCCACAUUGGAUAAUAGGUUAUGAUAUAUGUGUGUGAAAUCUUUUCCUAUGGUAUGCACAUGUUAACACAUGAGUUUAAAUGAUGAUGUAUAUCUUAUGACUAUGGAAGAGAAUGUGUUCAGAACAGAAUAUGUGUCUAGAAGAGUUGUUGCCCUUGAAUGUAAUUCAUUAUUUACAUGGGGUUGAAAAAUAAUCCAGCACGCAGUAGUACUAAAUGCAUUAUGUUAAAAUACAUUUAUGAAGGGUAUAAGUGAUACUGUCAAUUACUGAUUAAUACACUUUGUGAAAUCAUAUUAUUGUUAUGUUUAAUAAAUUUCAAGGCUG